Molecule: long non-coding RNA, 781 nt
Filed under: Triticum aestivum (bread wheat)
Lineage: Eukaryota; Viridiplantae; Streptophyta; Magnoliopsida; Poales; Poaceae
Description: long non-coding RNA (TAES_LNC026683)
Source: RNAcentral
AGAAGUCGUUGUAGAGCGACAAACACCAUGUGCGGAGGUUGCAAGAGGAGUCGCUGAAUAGUGACCGUCUGUAGAAGUCGACAUAAAGCAACCAUCACCAUCGGCUGUAGAAGUCGAAAUAAAGCAACCAUCAGCAUCAGCGGAAGAACUCCGAGGAAACAACGGAGGAGCACCAAGCACCGAGAGACGGCACAUGUGCGAGACGGGAUUAAUGUAGGGAACACCAUCAACAGUCAUCUGGCAACCAGAGAGAUGCAUACUCGAGGAGUUUCUUUUUUUUUACUCUGACAAUCGGCGGCUGAGGCACCACGCAGGACCAAGGAGCAGUAGUAGCACCGCGUAGGAGCACGUACACCAUCAGAUCGAGAGGAACUGAGGAGACAACACGUAGCAGCAAGUAGCACGUAGCACCACCAGGUAGGAGCAGUACGCUCCUUUGUUUUUGACGAAAAAAAAAGAGCUGGGGCUGGAGGCCAGGAACGGCAGCAGCGGACGAACACCUUAGAUUGCACGUCUUGGGCUGCGGCGGGUGACCCAGCAGGUGGGGAGUGGAACAAGGCAACCCGAUCUGGAGGGCGCGACCCGAUCCGGACAGGCAGAUGGAUCGGGGCAGCAGCGGCCAACGGAGAAUCGGGUGCGGACGAACACAACGGCGAUCAGGAGAGUUGUGGUUGUGCGUACACAGAUGAGCAGCAGCAGUCGGCCGGAGAGAGGAGCAGCGGCAAUCGACGCCGGAAAUUGGAUCGAAGAGCACGAGUUGCGCGUGCGAAAAAAAACCCUA